UCCGUAGGUGAACCUGCGGAAGGAUCAUUGAUGAUUUGCCGAGAGGCUUAACACCAAAACCAAACACCUGUGAACCGUCGGUCUCCGGACCAGCUUAUACCUAUAAACAAGUUUGUAAUGAAUGUGAAUGAGACAUAAACAAAAAUAAAACUUUCAACAACGGAUCUCUUGGCUCUCGCAUCGAUGAAGAACGCAGCGAAUUGCGAUAAGUAAUGUGAAUUGCAGAAUUCAGUGAAUCAUCGAAUCUUUGAACGCACCUUGCGCCCCUUGGUAUUCCGAGGGGCAUGCCUGUUUGAGUGUCAUGAAACAUCAAUCCCUCGGGUUUUGUAAUGGAACCCGUCGGACUUGGACUUGGGUGUCUGCCGUGGCUCAAGCGGCUCGCCUCAAAUGUGUAAUGGUGGUUUUUGGCCUCGUGCCCAGUAUCAGGACGUGAUAAGUCGUCGUCUUGAUCCGUCGGCCUUGGCCCCGCCUCAUAAAGAAAACCUUUAUUUGUAAUCUGACCUCAAAUCAGGUAGGACUACCCGCUGAACUUAAGCAUAUCAAUAAGCGGAGGA
RNAcentral lists this ribosomal RNA (554 nucleotides) under Pseudotremella moriformis. Its description in RNAcentral is "eukaryotic LSU rRNA". The stretch from base 149 to 302 matches the Rfam family "5.8S ribosomal RNA". Lineage: Eukaryota; Fungi; Basidiomycota; Tremellomycetes; Tremellales; Bulleraceae. The record is from RNAcentral.